Molecule: long non-coding RNA, 653 nt
Organism: Oxyura jamaicensis (ruddy duck)
Lineage: Eukaryota; Metazoa; Chordata; Aves; Anseriformes; Anatidae
Exons: 4
Source: RefSeq, a predicted model, not a curated record
GUCCUUUGUUUUCAGCUGAAUCUGGAAAUGCUUCCUGUAGUUAACCUGUAUAUAAAUGCAGUUUGAAAUAGGCCAAGAGACUUGGAAUACCUCUCCUCAUUGUUGGAGACUCUUGGGUUUUAAAUGACAGGAGAGGUGAUAUCAAUCAGCAUUUAGCAUUGUUAAUUCAACAUACAACUGGAAUUAGUCACAAACGUGAGUCCACUGGAAGUUCCAGAACACAGAGUCUACAUAGAACUAUUGUGAUUUACAAGUACCUGGGCAUUACUGAACUUGACGAAACAGAACAUUUGCUAAUUUGCCUACUAGCAAGACUACAUUUCACAGCAGUUAAUUGCCAUAUUCUCCUCUAACGUGGUAUGCUGCACCAAAUCAAAGGGCAAACCUGGAAGAGAAAGGAAAGCAUCAACCUGCUAGUGGAAAGCUAAGGAGAGAGAAAGAGGAGACCUGCAGCAGAAAGGAAUAUCGUGCCUGAAGACCACCCCCUGUUUUCAGUGCCAACCCCGCAAAGUUCAGCAGGUCAAACGAACCCCAGCGGAAAGAGGUCAUUGGCUUGAUCAUUUUAAAAAGACGAUAGACUAGAAAAUCAGCCUGAGCUUGAGACCAGCCCAAAUCAGAGAGUUUCACAGAACUGCCUGAUUUUCAGCAGAAAA